This 103-nucleotide microRNA precursor is filed under the name Marmota monax (woodchuck). Lineage: Eukaryota; Metazoa; Chordata; Mammalia; Rodentia; Sciuridae. The record is from RNAcentral.
ACAUGAAUCACCUGGGGGUCUUGUUAAAAUGCAGAUUUUGAUUCAGUAGUUCUGGGUGGGACCUGAGAUUCUGCAUUUGGGACAUGUUCCCAGAGGAGGGACU